UCCGGAGGGUGCGAUCGUUAUUCGGAAUUAUUGGGCGUAAAGAGCGCGUAGGCGGUCUCUUAAGUCAGAUGUGAAAGCCCAGGGCUCAACCCUGGAAGUGCAUUUGAAACUAAGGGACUUGAGUAUGGGAGAGGGAAGUGGAAUUCCUGGUGUAGCGGUGAAAUGCGUAGAUAUCAGGAGGAACAUCGGUGGCGAAGGCGACUUCCUGGACCAAUACUGACGCUGAGGCGCGAAGGCGUGGGGAGAAAACAGG
This 253-nucleotide ribosomal RNA is filed under the name uncultured bacterium. Its description in RNAcentral is "partial 16S ribosomal RNA". It matches the Rfam family "Bacterial small subunit ribosomal RNA", at positions 524 to 776 of the family's 1533-position model. The record is from RNAcentral.